Molecule: ribosomal RNA, 500 nt
Filed under: uncultured bacterium
Lineage: Bacteria
Description: partial 16S ribosomal RNA
Rfam family: Bacterial small subunit ribosomal RNA
Source: RNAcentral
AUUGAACGCUGGCGGCAUGCUUUACACAUGCAAGUCGAACGGUAACAGGGAGCUUGCUCCGCUGACGAGUGGCGAACGGGUGAGUAAUGCGUCGGAACGUGCCGAGUAGUGGGGGAUAACGCAUCGAAAGGUGUGCUAAUACCGCAUACGUACUGAGGUAGAAAGUGGGGGACCUUCGGGCCUCACGCUAUUCGAGCGGCCGACGUCUGAUUAGCUAGUUGGUGAGGUAAAGGCUCACCAAGGCGACGAUCAGUAGCGGGUCUGAGAGGAUGGUCCGCCACACUGGGACUGAGACACGGCCCAGACUCCUACGGGAGGCAGCAGUGGGGAAUUUUGGACAAUGGGCGCAAGCCUGAUCCAGCCAUGCCGCGUGUCUGAAGAAGGCCUUCGGGUUGUAAAGGACUUUUGUCCGGGAGCAAAUGCCUGGUGUUAAUAGCAUCGGGAGCUGAGAGUACCGGAAGAAUAAGCACCGGCUAACUACGUGCCAGCCGCCGCAGUAA